GGUCCCUUAUGAGGAAACCAUAUUGUACCUUACAAGAUGGAUACACAUUGCCUGAGUUAAAAGGAAUGAAAAGACAUUGCAAAGGAGGCAAGUUAGCAGGUUGUGGCAUCUUGAAAGGUGCAUAUGGUGAGGGCAUAACGCAAACCAGACAGAAGGACUAUGGCAAUCACUCUACAGCGUCUCUCUCUCUCUCUCACCUGAAUGGCUGUGACCCCGUGGUGAACUAAUUCCUUUGAAACUGCCUUGCAUGUUGUCACGGCCAAUAUCAGUGUGAGAUUGCACAGUGCAGAGUCCGGGUGCUCCUUUCAGCUCACAAUCAGUUGAGAGAAGAAGGCAACAGACAGAGUGAACUUCAGCCUCCAGAACACCUCCAUACACACAUCACCAUCUCAUCAACAAGUUGUCAAGAGGAGGGAGAAUUGUUGGAACUGCCUACAUCAACUGCAGACCCUUUGUGCUUAGCAGGACAGAUGGAGCAGCAAGCAUCUUGCUGUGAGGCACGAGCUGCACAGACCUAGGACUUAGAACAAAGUCAAAGACAUCCCUGACUCUGUGUGGCAUCUGCUCACUUUUUGUCUUUGUCUGAAGCUUGUUCAGGGGUUGUGACCUGGGAAAGAGCUGUUCUACAAAGUUAUAGGCUUGUUCUUAAAACCUUAAUUCAUGAUGUCAAGAAGGCAAGAGCUAUGUCUUUCAUAAAGUAA
Molecule: long non-coding RNA, 701 nt
Organism: Chinchilla lanigera (long-tailed chinchilla)
Lineage: Eukaryota; Metazoa; Chordata; Mammalia; Rodentia; Chinchillidae
Exons: 3
Source: RefSeq, a predicted model, not a curated record